RNAcentral lists this long non-coding RNA (3887 nucleotides) under Gossypium raimondii (Peruvian cotton). Its description in RNAcentral is "long non-coding RNA (GRAI_LNC010176)". The record is from RNAcentral. Lineage: Eukaryota; Viridiplantae; Streptophyta; Magnoliopsida; Malvales; Malvaceae.
GAUGUUAUGUCAGGGCCAACGGUGAGUGGAUCAUCGAAAGCUAUCACGCCGCCGAAGCCCGUCGAGGUGGUGGUGUUUGGACUGACUAUGGGGACUGCACUAGGAUUGUUGCCGCUCCUAGUGUCGUGUAAAAAGAAGUGGAGAUAGGUUACUUUUUGGGGAGGUGGAACGUAUGGUCCGGCAUGGGAGUAAUAAUCUUGGCAACGAGCUACUGUCAUGGCGGUGCUGAGACUCAAAAUCCAGGCUAAUAUCAUAUUUCUCUCCAUUGGUAAUGGUCAAUGGGAUUUCACUACUGCGUAUAUUGUAUUAUGGCACCUAAUUCAUAGGUUCCUUAGUUUAUAUAGAAAGAUAAAAUAAAACAAAACCAUAAAUUUAGUUUUUAAUAUUUAUAUUUUUAUCAUUUUAUUUUUAAUUAAAUUUAAUCAUUAAUUUUUUUAAAAAUAAGAUAGUUUUCUUUUAUCAAAAAUACUAAUUAAAACAUUAAUUUUUUAAUCAUGUCAGCGUGAUAACCAACGUGAUAGUUCACGUAUAUUUAUCCUAAUAUGAUACUAUUGUUCUAAUAAGUAAAAAUUUUAAAAUUCAAAACAAAUAUAAAAAAGUUAAAAAAAAUUAGCAUUGAUUACCAUAUGACUGUUAUAUUUAAAUAUUUAACAAUUUAGUAAGUAUUUAUGUUUAAAAAAAAGUAAUUAAAUUUAAUGGUAAAAUUAGGUUUAGAAUCAAAUUUAAUUAAAAGAGGAUCAAAAUUGAUAAAAAAAUAUAUAAAUAUUAAAAAGUCUAUAGGCCCCUUCCGUUGGGUUAAUUAAGAUUCAGUAAUACUAAUGUAUUUGUGCUAUGUACAAAUAUACAAUUAUAAUAUUAUUGGUGGAAAAAAAAACGAUAAUACUAAUGUAUUUUAUAAAAUUAAUAUAAAAUAGAUAAGUAAAAUUUAGGAUAAUUUCAUAGAUCUAUCAAUUUUGAAAUUAAAAUAACUUCAAUUUAUGAGAAAUAAGAAUAAUUAACAAAUUAUACUUCUAACUCAAACUAGUACGUACAAUGCUGAGGCUGGCAGCUUUUGGUUACAUUGCUUAAAAGCUUUCGCAUUCUUAAUCUGCAUAAAACAACGGAGGAUGAGAAGACUAUCAGAUCCUGCUUGGUGGCUUAAUCCAGCAACACGAGCCACGUUUAAAGUUUUUGCCACCUUUUCUAGUCCACCGUGUAAGUUAAAGAUCUUGAAAUUGUACUUGAUGUCAAAAAUCAUACAACCAAAGUAAUAAGUCAAAUGUCGCAUGAAAGACUUGAGAUCAGGCGGUAAUAGAUUUUGAGACAAAAUCUUCAACAAAAAUCCAAAAUCAUAAGCGCUGUGAAAAGUUACCCAAGUCAAUUCACCGAAACCCAACCCUGAAAUCAGAACCAUCAUGCCAAAAUCUCUUGAACAGAUGCUUUUUUCCUUAUUUCUUGUAAAAUCUAUACCUUGUCGUUUAAGUAACUCAAUAGACUCUUUAUCGUAAUGAUCUUUUUCAAUAUCAAAAUCUUUAAAAUUAAACUCCCAUAUAUAACAAAAAGGAGUUCCGAAAUCUGGCAAAUUACCUUCAGAAUCAGAGAGUGUUAAACCGAGUUGAAUGAUCUUCAAAGCAUCGACAUUAACUUUCAUGAACCUGUAAUUGACUUCGGGAUUUCCUAAUUGAACGAAUCUUUUUUCUGGUUUAAAAAUUGUACCAGGAAAUUCGGUAUCCAUAGAAACAAAAGAAUAGUUGUGGAGUGCACUUCAAAUUAACAUAAACUCAUAUUCCAAAUUAUUAGCAAAUACUUCCCUAACAAUCACUGGUUUGUUGACAAAAAUCGACAUUUUUUUUCUUGACUUAUACUUUAAACUGAAACUAUUGAACUCGAGAUAUACUUUUAGUGAUCUUAAGUCAGUUCUAACUAAGAUAUAUAUAUAAAUAUAAUUUUCAUAAUCCUAAUUCAAUUCUAACUAAUAUAAUUUUCGUAAUCCUGAUUAAGUUCUAAGAUAGUGUGUUAAUAUAUAAUUUCUUAAUUUGAUUUUUUUUACUAAAUUCGUUUUAGAAAAGGAAAAAGAAAAACUUGUGGAUUUUACUAAUUUGCCCUUGAAAGUUACUGCAAGUUAUAUGUUUUGAUGGGUGAGAUUUAGGUUUAAGGUUUAGCGUUUACAUUUUUAAGUUUAUGUUUUAUUAUUAAUAAUAAUAUAAAAGGUGUCACAAUUAUAUAUUUCAAAAAAUAUAAUUUAAUAUUUAGUUACACAUUUAAAAAUAAUUAUAAUUUAAUUAACCCCAAAGGCAGAAUGAUCAGUAUCGAAAAUAUCCCAUUGGUCGCGAAAACACGCGGACCCUAGGUCGGUUAGGGUCGGUCGGAUCGGGUUGUAUCAAAAUGAUGCCGUUUUAGCAUCGAAAAUUAAAAUCCAAAACAACACUGUUUUACAACUCCUAUUUAAGUCAAAAAAUUUCAUUUCAGCCUUCAUUUUAAAAAAAACCGAAACCUUCUUUUUAUUCUCAAAGCUAUCUUAAGCCGGUCAUAGCUCCGGCGAUCACCGCUGUACCGGCCACCUGUCACCGGCGAGGGCUCCGCCGUACACUGAGCCUUUAGUUUUUAUUUAUUUAUUUGGGCUUGUUAUUAUUAUUAAUUUUUAUUUUAAUUCUUGGUUUAUAUUUUGAUGGGCUCGGGCAAAAAUGUCCCAUUUCAGAGUAGAUGGUUAUUGUUCUCCCUUCAAUCCUAAUCUAGUCAACAACAGUCUAUAGCCUAUGUCUAACUUGGAAUUUUCUUCAAUGCUUUUGGGUUUUUGUAAGUCUAGUUUGUAGUUGAUAUUUUGAGACCUCAAAUGAUGAAUUUAGGUACUGCAAAGUUAAACAUCCGUUACCAUACCAAAUUCUUAGCUCAUCUUUAAGGUCAGAUAUAACCAAUGUAUUCUAUAUUUAUGGAUGAACAGAUGUGUUUUUGCUGUUACAAAGUGGCGUAAACCUCUUGGUUUGAAGCUCCCUUUUCUCACCUGUAAUGGCUUCCUUUAGUGUCAUAUAUCCGACUACCCAAAUUGCAUUAUAUGCCUCUCGAGAACACCACACAGCAGAGGCAGGAAAGUUAGAUCAGCUGAAAUCAGGCUGCAAAAUAACUUCUAAAAAUGGGUUAACUUUUAAAUAUUAUAACAAUUAAGUCCCUUAAAUCUGACACGUUUCAAACCUAACGAAAGCAACAGGGGGCCAACAUUAUUGGUGGAAUAAACAAUCACUCCUAAUCCAUAGAAGAAGAAAAAAAAACUAGCAAGAUAAUUAUCUUAAUAAUGAAUUACAGUCACAUUAUACUCAACAAUGGCGUCGCCAGUCUUGAAAUUCACGGAAUAAGUCUUGAGUUGUGCAUACCCUUUCGCCAUCCUGAACUUCCCUUUCCCUCCGACCACCGCAAGCUCACGCUCCGAUUCGGUAAUUGGAUUCCUCGACAAAACACUGAUAGAGCUGCCGUUGAAUUCACCUUUCGUAAACCCGAUGUCCAAGUACGCCAUCAGAGUCAAAACGUCUUUGCCUGUCGACACCCAGAGGCCUUGAGCGUUCCCUAUGACCUCUGAUGUUAUGUCGGGGCCAACGGUGAGUGGAUCAUCGAAAGCUAUCACGCCGCCGAAGCCCGUCGAGGUGGUGAUGUUUGGACUGACUAUGGGGACUGCACUAGGGUUGUUGCCGCUCAUAGUGUCGUGUAAAAAGAAGUGGAGAUAGGUUACUUUUUGUGGAGGCGGAACGUAUGGUCCGGCAUGGGAGUAAAAAUCUUGGCAACGAGCUACUGCCAUGGCGGUGCUGAGAAUCAAAAUCCAGGCUAAUAUCAUAUUUUUCCCCAUUGUUAAUGGUCAAUGGGAUUUCACUACUGUGAUUAUUGUAUUAUGGCAGCUAAUCGAUAGGUUCAAUUUAUCC